AGGUUUUGGAAUGCAGUAAAAUAUACAGAAAGUACAUUUGCAGAAUUUAUUUUGGAGUGGGGGUCUGUUAUUUUCUUCAGAUUGUAAAGGAAAGAAGUGAAGUGCGUAAAAGAUAAAAUUCACAGCAGAAGGAAGCUCAUGGAGUCAGCAAAAGGUCAAUCUCCCAGUUUAUUUCCCAGCUAAUUAGUCCAGGUUGAAGGCAUCCACUUAAAACAACAGGAAACAUGGCUGCCCCAAAUGAUUCCAUUCAAGCUUUCAAAAUAUAAUACUGAAUACCACCUUAAUUCUACUUGUUUGGAAUAUGUUCCACAUCUUCACUGUUCAUCAAAGGUAGCGAGAUUAUGGGUCUGAGGGGACCUCCUGAUUUGUAAAUUUUGACUGGGACUUUGAGACAACACAUCCACCCUAGGAC
Molecule: non-coding RNA, 412 nt
Organism: Chiloscyllium plagiosum (whitespotted bambooshark)
Lineage: Eukaryota; Metazoa; Chordata; Chondrichthyes; Orectolobiformes; Hemiscylliidae
Source: RefSeq, a predicted model, not a curated record